RNAcentral lists this ribosomal RNA (502 nucleotides) under uncultured bacterium. RNAcentral describes it as "bacterial SSU rRNA". It matches the Rfam family "Bacterial small subunit ribosomal RNA", at positions 28 to 517 of the family's 1533-position model. The record is from RNAcentral.
GAUGAACGCUAGCUAUAGGCUUAACACAUGCAAGUCGAGGGGAAACGAUAGAGAAAGCUUGCUUUUUCUAGGCGUCGACCGGCGCACGGGUGAGUAACGCGUAUCCAACCUGCCCACCACUUGGGGAUAACCUUGCGAAAGUAAGACUAAUACCCAAUGAUAUCUCUAGAAGACAUCUGAAGGAGAUUAAAGAUUUAUCGGUGAUGGAUGGGGAUGCGUCUGAUUAGCUUGUUGGCGGGGUAACGGCCCACCAAGGCGACGAUCAGUAGGGGUUCUGAGAGGAAGGUCCCCCACAUUGGAACUGAGACACGGUCCAAACUCCUACGGGAGGCAGCAGUGAGGAAUAUUGGUCAAUGGGCGAAAGCCUGAACCAGCCAAGUAGCGUGAGGGAAGACUGCCCUACGGGUUGUAAACCUCCUUUGUUUGGGAAUAAAGUGCGGGACGUGUCCCGCAUUGCAUGUACCAUUUGAAUAAGGACCGGCUAAUUCCGUGCCAGCAGCCG